GGUCUUGUUGGUCCUCAAGGCCCGAUCGGACCCGCCUGGUGAAAAAGGACCGUCAGGUCGUCAGGGAUUGGCUGGUCUGGCUGGUGCCGACGGUCCUCCCGGUCACCCAGGGAAGGAGGGUCCUCCGGGAAUGAAAGGAGGAGUCGGUCAUCCUGGUCCUCCGGGUUCUCUUGGGUACCCUGGCCCUCGCGGUGUCAAGGGCGCCGAGGCGUCAGAGGUCUUAAAGGCGGCGGAGGAGAAAGG
This is a long non-coding RNA of Salvelinus sp. IW2-2015, 243 nucleotides long. RefSeq lists it as uncharacterized. NCBI's taxonomy places the organism in Eukaryota, Metazoa, Chordata, Actinopteri, Salmoniformes, Salmonidae. The record is from RefSeq and is a predicted model, not a curated record.